GCUCCUGUGGCCGUUUUGGACUCUUGGGGCCACUUUGCGCCCGUGGCCACCUCGGGCUCGCAGCACCGGGGCUGCCCCCAGCACCCCGACCCCAGCACCCCAACCCCAGCACCCCUCGUGCAGCUGGCACCCGCUGCCCCCAGCCACCGCUGUCCCUCCGUGCCCCCUGUGCCCGGGGUUGUUGUGCCCCAGCGCGUGCUGCCAGCAGAUUUAAAGCCUCUCCCUCGUUACCCGAGGCUGCGGUGGCAGCCGUCCCCUCCGGAGCCACCUGGGUCCCUGCUGGAGGUAGAGGAAGAUUUUGGGAUCUGGGGAUCUCUGCCCCACGCACAGGGGGGGCAGCGCACACGUCUGGUGCCCACCGCAGGGCACGGCGCUGCAGGUUUGCACCCGGAGCUUUUUCUGGGGAUUCCUGCUCAGCAGCUGAGCACCUCCCCGAGCUGUGCGCCCACCAGGAUGCUUCCGACACAGGCACGAGCUCAGCACCCCCCCCCCUCACAAACGAGGAUGUGGGGAGCAAAUUCCUGGCCCGUGAGCCAGGAGAAGCUUGGGCUGGGAACCUGGGGGCACCGCAGCGCCCAGCAGCUCGUCCCCAGCCGCUUUCUAGCUCACCAAAAGCUGAUCCCAAGCCACCCCCCGAGGGCCACCGGGGCACCCCGGGCACAAGAGCCAUCCCCCCAAGCACCCCCGUGCCCGUCCCCAGCCAAGACACCCGAGGGACAGAGAGCGCAGGGCCCGGUGACACGAGUAGUGCGUUUAUUGGAGAAUCUCACAUGCAGGAACCAAAGUAGAGAUGAUUUCUGGAACAAGUUAAACGACGGCGGAUUAAUACAGGGUAGGCUCGGCGAGCCUUGUGGUCAGCACGGAGGAGGUAAACAAUGACUGGGCUGGAUGAGCCUGGCCCAGCAGGGAUGGAGAUAGCACAGGCAGAGCCCCGCAGGAUCCCAGCAGCCAAAAGGAGACCUCAGCACCCCAGUACGCACCAGUCUCCCCACUGAGGCUGUUCCCUUUCAAAACCACCGGGGCACGUUUUUAGGAGCAGUUCUGUGAGCCUCGCCGAAGCACCCUGGAUGUCCGCACGGCGCGUUGUGAGCUACCACACCUGCCCAAGGAGCAGCUGAAAGCUACACGCAACAAUUAAAAAAAAAACAACAAAAAAAAACCCGAAGGAGGCAUUUAAAUAGAAAGCAUUCAUUUCUUACACCUCGGGGUUAACAGAAGGGGUUAAAAACACACCGGAAAGGGAAUACACUGACAAAAUAAAUAUCUCAACCUAGGACA
This 1278-nucleotide long non-coding RNA is filed under the name Anas platyrhynchos platyrhynchos (common mallard). RNAcentral describes it as "lncRNA (ENSAPLG00000029660.1)". Lineage: Eukaryota; Metazoa; Chordata; Aves; Anseriformes; Anatidae. The record is from RNAcentral.